UAUGUGUGUGUGUGUGUGUGUGUGUGUAUGUGUAUGUAUGUAUAUACACACACACAUACACACACACAUAUA
This 72-nucleotide microRNA precursor is filed under the name Marmota monax (woodchuck). Lineage: Eukaryota; Metazoa; Chordata; Mammalia; Rodentia; Sciuridae. The record is from RNAcentral.